GAGAAUAACAAGAUGGUGUUUGCAGAAUCCUACACUGCACUGUGGAGUUGGGUCAGUUGCAUCAUGAAAUAUUAGCAUUUUCCACACAGGAACAUUUUGUAACAAGAAAUGUUAGAAAUCAUUUGUAGAGUAGAAGACAUACUAGACGAUAGUUGGAAGGAAAAAGAGACUGUGGAAUGACGCAUAAAUGCUUCUAAUUAAAGGGAGGGGACUCAAAAAGUGUAGGAGGCUUGAGGAAUUUAGCACACAACUACAGAUGUUUCUU
Molecule: long non-coding RNA, 265 nt
Filed under: Homo sapiens (human)
Lineage: Eukaryota; Metazoa; Chordata; Mammalia; Primates; Hominidae
Description: non-protein coding lnc-TAS2R1-15:1
Source: RNAcentral